Molecule: long non-coding RNA, 950 nt
Organism: Homo sapiens (human)
Lineage: Eukaryota; Metazoa; Chordata; Mammalia; Primates; Hominidae
Product: long intergenic non-protein coding RNA 2739
Source: Ensembl
GGGCAGUUAAGGGAAACCUUAUCGUCAUUUUCCCCUGGGAGGGAGGAUACUGGGGACAUAUGUCUUACCUUUUAAACUGCCCAGUACGAAGUUACGCCUCUGCCCUCACUUGGGACCUGGUUUGAGACAAGCUCUUCCGGAGCACUGCGCAUAGCUCACUUUCUUGAGCAACCCUGUGUCCCCGCACCCCGCUCCUCUUCUUUCGGGUUCUAGGCAGCCGUGGGCGCUGCGACCCUUCUCUCACUGUCAGAGGGGCGGGAGCUCUCGGCCUGCGCCGCCUCCGCUGCCUGCUUGGUCGCGGGCUUGCCGGGAAUGGUGACAGCCCGGGCCCCCUCUUGGCCAAAGAAGUCCUCGAAAGCGUUCGGCGCACGGGCUUUGUCCAGCUUUUUAAACCGUAACAAGGACCGGGGCCGGGCGCGGUGGCUCACGCCUGUAAUCCCAGCAUUUUGGGAAGUCGAGGCGGACGGAUUACUUGAGGUCAUGAGUUCGAGACCAGCCUGGCCAACACGAUGGAGUCUUGCUCCCAUGCUGGAGUGCAGUGGCGUGAUCUCGGCUGACUGUAACCUCCGCCUCCCGGGUUCAAGUGAUUCUCCUGCCUCAGCCUCCGGAGUAGCUGGGAUUACAGCAAAGAUAUCCAGACGCUGUAUGCAGGAAGAACUGAAUUUCAGAGGACACCGUUUGAUCUUCAACACCUGGCAGUUUACAAAACAGCCUGAAGAGGAGAGGGGGAAUCCUGGUGAGAAGCAUUUGGAAUUCAAGCUCAGAGAAGAAGACACGGUAUUUCUGGCUGAAUCACAUUUCCUGCAUGCCUGCACACUCCUACUCACCUUUCAAGGCACAGUUCUAAUGCCUUACCCCCUGCCAGGUGCUACUCUGCCUUCCUUCUAGUGAUUUCUCUGGGUUACCAAAGGUCUUGCAUAUUUCUCUAUUAAAGCAUUGAUUAAAAGCCA